This 238-nucleotide long non-coding RNA is filed under the name Elaeis guineensis (African oil palm). RNAcentral describes it as "long non-coding RNA (EGUI_LNC033043)". Lineage: Eukaryota; Viridiplantae; Streptophyta; Magnoliopsida; Arecales; Arecaceae. The record is from RNAcentral.
GUCCGAGGAGACAAAGAAGUACCUAUUCUUCCAACUAUGUACUAAUAAUAGAAGAUUGGCAACGAUCUUACACUUCGAUCAUGGAGAAAAAUACUAUCAGUCUUUAAAAUAUGGAUAUUUUUUUUAAGAAAAAAAGAUACCUAAAAACGAGCAUCAUGGAGAAACCUUGAUGAUGUCGCGAUCAGAAUGAAGGCUGUAAAGGAUCUAAUCCCAUUCGGAGCUAUUUAGGUGGGAAGAA